AGUGAACGCUGGCGGUAGGCCUAACACAUGCAAGUCGAACGGCAGCACAGUAAGAGCUUGCUCUUACGGGUGGCGAGUGGCGGACGGGUGAGGAAUACAUCGGAAUCUACUUUUUCGUGGGGGAUAACGUAGGGAAACUUACGCUAAUACCGCAUACGACCUACGGGUGAAAGCAGGGGAUCUUCGGACCUUGCGCGAUUGAAUGAGCCGAUGUCGGAUUAGCUAGUUGGCGGGGUAAAGGCCCACCAAGGCGACGAUCCGUAGCUGGUCUGAGAGGAUGAUCGGCGACAUUGGAACUGGGACACGGUCCAGACUCCUACGGGAGGCAGCAGUGGGGAAUAUUGGACAAUGGGCGCAAGCCUGAUCCAGCCAUACCGCGUGGGUGAAGAAGGCCUUCGGGUUGUAAAGCCCUUUUGUUGGGAAAGAAAGGCAGCAGGUUAAUACCCCGCUGUUCUGACGGUACCCAAAGAAUAAGCACCGGCUAACUUCGUG
Molecule: ribosomal RNA, 492 nt
Filed under: uncultured bacterium
Lineage: Bacteria
Description: partial 16S ribosomal RNA
Rfam family: Bacterial small subunit ribosomal RNA
Source: RNAcentral